AACGAACGUUGGCGGCGUGGAUUAGGCAUGCAAGUCGAACGAAUCUUGCUCGUGUAGCAAUACAUGAGCAAGAAGAGUGGCGAAAGGGGCAGUAAUGUUUGGAUAACCUACCCUGAGGUCGUGGAUAGCCUUCCUAACGGAUGGGUAAUACACGGCGUUGUACUGAAGAGGCAUCUCUUUGUUACCAAAGAAUUUCGCCUCAGGAGGGGUCCAAAUGCUAUUAGCUAGUUGGUGAGGUAACGGCUCACCAAGGCUUAGAUGGCUAGCGGGUGUGAGAGCACGACCCGCGCCACUGGCACUGAGACACUGGCCAGACUCCUACGGGAGGCUGCAGUCGAGGAUCUUCGGCAAUGGGCGCAAGCCUGACCGAGCGACGCCGCGUGUGCGAUGAAGGCCUUCGGGUUGUAAAGCACUGUCGAGAGGGAGAAAGCCGAAAGGUUGAUCUAUCUCUGGAGGAAGCACGGGCUAAGUUCGUGCCAGCAGCCGCCGUA
RNAcentral lists this ribosomal RNA (491 nucleotides) under uncultured bacterium. RNAcentral's name for it is "bacterial SSU rRNA". It matches the Rfam family "Bacterial small subunit ribosomal RNA", at positions 29 to 522 of the family's 1533-position model. The record is from RNAcentral.